GACGAACGCUGGCGGCGUGCUUAACACAUGCAAGUCGAACGGAAAGGCCCUGCUUGCAGGGUACUCGAGUGGCGAACGGGUGAGUAACACGUGGGUGAUCUGCCCUGCACUUCGGGAUAAGCCUGCGAAACUGGGUCUAAUACCGGAGAGGAGCCAUUUUUAGUGUGAUGGUUGGAAAGUUUUUUCGGUGUAGGGUGAGCUAGCGGCCUAUCAGCUUGUUGGUGGGGUAAUGGCCUACCAAGGCGGCGACGGGUAGCCGGCCUGAGAGGGUGGACGGCCACAUUGGGACUGAGAUACGGCCCAGACUCCUACGGGAGGCAGCAGUGGGGAAGAUUGCACAAUGGGCGCAAGCCUGAUGCAGCGACGCCGCGUGGGGGAUGACGGCCUUCGGGUUGUAAACUCCUUUCGCUAGGGACGAAGCUUUUUGUGACGGUACCUAGAUAAGAAGCACCGGCUAACUACGUG
This 465-nucleotide ribosomal RNA is filed under the name uncultured bacterium. RNAcentral describes it as "partial 16S ribosomal RNA". It matches the Rfam family "Bacterial small subunit ribosomal RNA", at positions 28 to 507 of the family's 1533-position model. The record is from RNAcentral.